RNAcentral lists this ribosomal RNA (484 nucleotides) under uncultured bacterium. RNAcentral's name for it is "partial 16S ribosomal RNA". It matches the Rfam family "Bacterial small subunit ribosomal RNA", at positions 30 to 507 of the family's 1533-position model. The record is from RNAcentral.
AUUGAACGCUAGCGGGAUGCUUUACACAUGCAAGUCGAACGGCAGCGCGGACUUCGGUCUGGCGGCGAGUGGCGCACGGGUGAGUAAUGUAUCGGAACGUGCCCAGUAGCGGGGGAUAACUACGCGAAAGCGUAGCUAAUACCGCAUACGCCCUACGGGGGAAAGCAGGGGAUCGUAAGACCUUGCACUAUUGGAGCGGCCGAUAUCGGAUUAGCUAGUUGGUGAGGUAACGGCUCACCAAGGCGACGAUCCGUAGCUGGUUUGAGAGGACGACCAGCCACACUGGGACUGAGACACGGCCCAGACUCCUACGGGAGGCAGCAGUGGGGAAUUUUGGACAAUGGUGGCAACCCUGAUCCAGCCAUCCCGCGUGUGCGAUGAAGGCCUUCGGGUUGUAAAGCACUUUUGGCAGGAAAGAAACGUCGCGGGCUAAUACCCCGUGGAACUGACGGUACCUGCAGAAUAAGCACCGGCUAACUACGUG